CCUACGGGGGGCAGCAGUCGAGAAUCAUUCACAAUGGGGGAAACCCUGAUGGUGCGACGCCGCGUGGGGGAAUGCAGGUCUUCGGAUUGUAAACCUCUGUCAUGUGGGAGCAAAUUAAAAAGAUAGUACCACAAGAGGAAGAGACGGCUAACUCUGUGCCAGGAGCCGCGGGAAUACAGAGGUCUCAAGCGUUGUUCGGAAUCAAUGGGCGUAAAGGGUGCGUAGGCUGUUUCGUAAGUCGUGUGUGAAAGGCGCGGGCUCAACCCGCGGACGGCACCUGAUACUGCGAGACUAGAGUAAUGGAGGGGGAAGCGGAAUGCGCGGUGUAGCAGUGAAAUGCGUAGAUAUCGAGAGGAACACUCGUGGCGAAGGCGGGUUCCUGGACAUUAACUGACGCUGAGGCACGAAGGCCAGGGGAGCGAAAGGGAUUAGAUACCCCAGUAGUC
RNAcentral lists this ribosomal RNA (446 nucleotides) under uncultured bacterium. RNAcentral's name for it is "partial 16S ribosomal RNA". It matches the Rfam family "Bacterial small subunit ribosomal RNA", at positions 338 to 795 of the family's 1533-position model. The record is from RNAcentral.